Molecule: ribosomal RNA, 426 nt
Filed under: uncultured bacterium
Lineage: Bacteria
Description: partial 16S ribosomal RNA
Rfam family: Bacterial small subunit ribosomal RNA
Source: RNAcentral
GUCGAGAAUUUUGGGCAAUGGACGAAAGUCUGACCCAGCAAUGCCGCGUGCGGGAUGAAGGUCUUCGGAUUGUAAACCGCUGUCGAGGGGGACGAAAUAUGACGGUACCCCUGGAGGAAGCCACGGCUAACUACGUGCCAGCAGCCGCGGUAAUACGUAGGUGGCGAGCGUUGUUCGGAUUUAUUGGGCGUAAAGGGUCCGCAGGGGGUUGAUUAAGUCUGACGUGAAAUCUCUGAGCUCAACUCAGAAAUUGCGUUGGAGACUGGUUGACUAGAGUGUUGGAGAGGUAAUUGGAAUUCCAGGUGUAGCGGUGGAAUGCGUAGAUAUCUGGAAGAACAUCGAAAGCGAAGGCAGAUUACUGGACAACAACUGACCCUCAGGGACGAAAGCAUGGGGAGCAAACAGGAUUAGAUACCCCAGUAGUCC